RNAcentral lists this ribosomal RNA (449 nucleotides) under uncultured bacterium. Its description in RNAcentral is "bacterial SSU rRNA". It matches the Rfam family "Bacterial small subunit ribosomal RNA", at positions 329 to 792 of the family's 1533-position model. The record is from RNAcentral.
UCCCAGACUCCUACGGGAGGCAGCAGUGGGGGAUAUUGCGCAAUGGGGGAAACCCUGACGCAGCAACGCCGCGUGAAGGAAGAAGGCCUUCGGGUUGUAAACUUUUGUCGCAAGGGAAGAAGACAGUGACGGUACCUUGUGAGGAAGCCACGGCUAACUACGUGCCAGCAGCCGCGGUAAUACGUAGGUGGCGAGCGUUGUCCGGAUUUACUGGGUGUAAAGGGAGCGUAGACGGCAGCGCAAGUCUGAAGUGAAAUCCCAUGGCUUAACCAUGGAACUGCUUUGGAAACUGUGCAGCUGGAGUGCAGGAGAGGCAGACGGAAUUCCUAGUGUAGCGGUGAAAUGCGCAGAUAUUAGGAGGAACACCAGUGGCGAAGGCGGUCUGCUGGACAGCAACUGACGCUGAGGCGCGAAAGCGUGGGGAGCAAACAGGAUUAGAUACCCCUGUA